AUUGAACGCUGGCGGCAUGCCUUACACAUGCAAGUCGAACGGCAGCACGGGGCAACCUGGUGGCGAGUGGCGAACGGGUGAGUAAUGCAUCGGAACGUGCCAUUGAGUGGGGGAUAACGUAGCGAAAGUUGCGCUAAUACCGCAUAUUCUGUGAGCAGGAAAGCAGGGGACCGCAAGGCCUUGCGCUCUUUGAGCGGCCGAUGUCAGAUUAGCUAGUUGGUGAGGUAACGGCUUACCAAGGCGACGAUCUGUAGCGGGUCUGAGAGGAUGAUCCGCCACACUGGAACUGAGACACGGUCCAGACUCCUACGGGAGGCAGCAGUGGGGAAUUUUGGACAAUGGGCGCAAGCCUGAUCCAGCCAUGCCGCGUGAGUGAAGAAGGCCUUCGGGUUGUAAAGCUCUUUCGGCCGGGAAGAAAUCGCAUGGGCCAAUACCCUGUGUGGAUGACGGUACCGGAAUAAGAAGCACCGGCUAACUACGUGCCAGCAGCCGCGGUAAUACGUAGGGUGCGAGCGUUAAUCGGAAUUACUGGGCGUAAAGCGUGCGCAGGCGGUUUUGUAAGACAGGCGUGAAAUCCCCGGGCUUAACCUGGGAACUGCGCCUGUGACUGCAAGGCUAGAGUACGGCAGAGGGGGGGGAAUUCCACGUGUAGCAGUGAAAUGCGUAGAGAUGUGGAGGAACACCAAUGGCGAAGGCACCCCCUGGGUCGAUACUGACGCUCAUGC
Molecule: ribosomal RNA, 725 nt
Filed under: uncultured bacterium
Lineage: Bacteria
Description: bacterial SSU rRNA
Rfam family: Bacterial small subunit ribosomal RNA
Source: RNAcentral